This 492-nucleotide ribosomal RNA is filed under the name uncultured bacterium. RNAcentral's name for it is "partial 16S ribosomal RNA". It matches the Rfam family "Bacterial small subunit ribosomal RNA", at positions 29 to 507 of the family's 1533-position model. The record is from RNAcentral.
AGUGAACGCUGGCGGUAGGCCUAACACAUGCAAGUCGAACGGCAGCACAGUAAGAGCUUGCUCUUACGGGUGGCGAGUGGCGGACGGGUGGGGAAUACAUCGGAAUCUACUUUUUCGUGGGGGAUAACGUAGGGAAACUUACGCUAAUACCGCAUACGACCUACGGGUGAAAGCCGGGGAUCUUCGGACCUUGCGCGAUUGAAUGAGCCGAUGUCGGAUUAGCUAGUUGGCGGGGUAAAGGCCCACCAAGGCGACGAUCCGUAGCUGGUCUGAGAGGAUGAUCAGCCACACUGGAACUGAGACAUGGUCCAGACGCCUAAGGGAGGCAGCAGUGGGGAAGAUUGGACAAUGGGCGCAAGCCUGAGCCAGCCAUACCGCGUGGGUGAAGAAGGCCUUCGGGUUGUAAAGCCCUUUUGUUGGGAAAGAAAAGCAGCAGGUUAAUACCCCGCUGUUCUGACGGUACCCAAAGAAUAAGCACCGGCUAACUUCGUG